GGAGGGAGGUAUGGUUGUCUGUCUGAAUGGAGGGAGGGAGGUAUGGUUGUCUGUCUGAAUGAAGGGAGGUAUGGUUGUCUGUCUGAAUGGAGGGAGGUAUGGUUGUCUGUCUGAAUGGAGGGAGGUAUGGUUGUCUGUCUGAAUGGAGGGAGGUAUUGUUAUCUGACUGAAUGGAGGGAGGGAGGUAAUGUUGUCUGUCUGAAUGAAGGGAGAUAUUGUUGUCUGACUGAGUGGAGGGAGGUAUGGUUGUCUGUCUGAAUGGAGGGAGGUAUGGUUGUCUGACUGAAUGGAGGGAGGUAUUGUUGUCUGUCUGAAUGGAGGGAGGUAUGGUUGUCUGUCUGAAUGGAGGGAGGUAUGGUUGUCUGUCUG
Molecule: long non-coding RNA, 369 nt
Organism: Oncorhynchus tshawytscha (Chinook salmon)
Lineage: Eukaryota; Metazoa; Chordata; Actinopteri; Salmoniformes; Salmonidae
Source: Ensembl